GGAGGGGUGCGAGAGCGGCCGAAUCGGCACGACUGGAAAUCGUGUGUCCUUCACGGGACCGUGGGUUCAAAUCCCACCCUCUCCGCCA
This 88-nucleotide transfer RNA is filed under the name Actinomycetota bacterium. RNAcentral describes it as "tRNA-Ser". It matches the Rfam family "tRNA". Rfam says of the family: Transfer RNA (tRNA) molecules are approximately 80 nucleotides in length. Their secondary structure includes four short double-helical elements and three loops (D, anti-codon, and T loops). Lineage: Bacteria; Bacillati; Actinomycetota. The record is from RNAcentral.